Molecule: ribosomal RNA, 501 nt
Filed under: uncultured Micrococcus sp.
Lineage: Bacteria; Bacillati; Actinomycetota; Actinomycetes; Micrococcales; Micrococcaceae
Description: bacterial SSU rRNA
Rfam family: Bacterial small subunit ribosomal RNA
Source: RNAcentral
CGGCGGAGCAUGCGGAUUAAUUCGAUGCAACGCGAAGANCCUUACCAAGGCUUGACAUGUUCUCGAUCGCNGUAGAGAUACGGUUUCCCCUUUGGGGCGGGUUCACAGGUGGUGCAUGGUUGUCGUCAGCUCGUGUCGUGAGAUGUUGGGUUAAGUCCCGCAACGAGCGCAACCCUCGUUCCAUGUUGCCAGCACGUCGUGGUGGGGACUCAUGGGAGACUGCCGGGGUCAACUCGGAGGAAGGUGAGGACGACGUCAAAUCAUCAUGCCCCUUAUGUCUUGGGCUUCACGCAUGCUACAAUGGCCGGUACAAUGGGUUGCGAUACUGUGAGGUGGAGCUAAUCCCAAAAAGCCGGUCUCAGUUCGGAUUGGGGUCUGCAACUCGACCCCAUGAAGUCGGAGUCGCUAGUAAUCGCAGAUCAGCAACGCUGCGGUGAAUACGUUCCCGGGCCUUGUACACACCGCCCGUCAAGUCACGAAAGUUGGUAACACCCGAAGCCG